Molecule: ribosomal RNA, 254 nt
Filed under: uncultured bacterium
Lineage: Bacteria
Description: partial 16S ribosomal RNA
Rfam family: Bacterial small subunit ribosomal RNA
Source: RNAcentral
UACAGAGGGGGCAAGCGUUGUUCGGAAUUACUGGGCGUAAAGGGCGCGUAGGCGGCCUGCUAAGUCGAACGUGAAAUCCCCGGGCUCAACCCGGGAACUGCGUCCGAUACUGGCAGGCUUGAAUCCGGGAGAGGGAUGUGGAAUUCCAGGUGUAGCGGUGAAAUGCGUAGAUAUCUGGAAGAACACCAGUGGCGAAGGCGGCCCGCUGGGCAGUGGCUGACGCUGAGGCGCGACAGCGUGGGGGAGCAAACAGG